UAUAAGAAAAAUAGCAAAACCUAUCUAAAUCAUAAGAGAAGUAUGCGGGGGUGGUACGCGUCGAUCCAUUGGGUCAUUGGCCCGCCCCACAAACGUGGCUUCGCUGGAUCAUCGGGUAGCCCUCGCACAGGCAGCCGCGCAAGGGUUCCUCGACGCCGAUGCCGCGCCGCCCCCUCCUCCGGCUCUGCAACGCCGUUACCUCCUCCUCCGGUUCUGCCGCCGACAUGCCGUCAUCCUCUGCAACCUCCGUCUUGCCUCGUUUGGAUCUGCGACCAGAGUAGGAACAUGGAGGUGUCUCAGAUGCAAAAAAGAAUGGAGUAUGAAGAUAAAGAGGAGCGGUAGCGGCACCGCCACACACCCAUUGCGCAAGAAGGUGCAAAGAAAUUACUGUUGUCACCGGUGGCAAGGGAUACUCUGGUGAGGUCUCCAGCAGCAAGAUUACCAUAACAAGGUCUCCCUUGUCAGCUCUGAGUACUAUAGGCACUGGGCAUAGGCAUCAGUACAGGGGAUAACAGCUCUGAACCUUAGCUUUAACUAAAAGUUCAGUAUUGUACCAUCUGUAUAAUUAUUGAUUCAUUUGUGUUUGUUCCCUAUAUGAACUGACCACUGCAACAAAUGUAUAGUGCUUUAACUAACCUCAUCUUUGUAUAAUUACUGAUAUGGACAGGGCCAUGCGCGUCUCUUAUCAUCGGGCACUAUAUUAUUAGUACUA
This is a long non-coding RNA of Phragmites australis (common reed), 712 nucleotides long. RefSeq lists it as uncharacterized. NCBI's taxonomy places the organism in Eukaryota, Viridiplantae, Streptophyta, Magnoliopsida, Poales, Poaceae. The record is from RefSeq and is a predicted model, not a curated record. The transcript is spliced from 2 exons.